RNAcentral lists this long non-coding RNA (1011 nucleotides) under Sus scrofa (pig). RNAcentral's name for it is "lncRNA (ENSSSCG00025058518.1)". The record is from RNAcentral. Lineage: Eukaryota; Metazoa; Chordata; Mammalia; Artiodactyla; Suidae.
AUGGGACUCAGGAGACAGGAGGCAGGGGGAGGCCUGAGGGGUGGGGGCGGCCGCCGGGCAUCUGGGCCUCUCCCUCCCCUGGCACCACCGCACCCCGCACCCCUCCCACACACACCCUCGCCGGAAAGUUCCCCAGCCCAGGCCGGGCUCCCAGGCAGCUUGGCACCGUGCCAGGCUCGCCGCCGAGCGCGGGCAGCCGGGUGGGGCGAGCGGCGGCGGCACCGAGGACAUGGCCGGGCGCCCUGGGCGCGAGCAGGACCCAAGGCCGGGAGGCCGGGGCCCAGAAGAAGGCGGCUGGUCCCAGAGCACCUCGGAGAAAGCAGACACCCGUCUUGGCCUUUGGAAGACGCUCAAGGACCACGUGGCCGGGUCCACGGUCUCUGCCCUGCGCCUCGAGGGCGAGGCAGCCCAGGUCUUGCCCUUCUUGCCGGCCACUUUGCCCCCAGCCGACGCCUGGAGCUUGAGGUGACUGAGCGCUCUCAGGCCAGCUCGGCCCUGGACCUGCUCGGCUCUGGACCUGCCCAUCUGCGUCAACGCACGAGGCCCCCGUGCCCCAGGUCAAGAAGUGGCGCCAAGGGGGGAGCUUCUGUCCGAGGCCAGCCUUCCUUCCGGCUGGACUUGGCCUGCACGAGCCACGGUCUGUGUCGCAGGGUGUCUGGAUGGAAGAGCAGCACUGGGCCCCGUCUCCCUCUCCGCCCUGAGGACCCGCCGUUCCUGGCUCCCAGGCAGGUGCGCCUGCCCCCCUCCCAACCCCAGGCUCACCCUGCCCCCUUCUCUCCACCCGGCCGGGCACCAGCCCUCAACCUGCUGCCAGCUGUCAACAUGCGACGCACACAGGUAAGUGUUAACCGGAGCAGGAAAGGCUGGAUGAGGAGAACCAGUGACAUCUGCUUCUCCCAGACGGGGCUGGGGGCACCGGGGGCUUGCGGUGACGGCCGGGGUGGCCCAGGGUGUGUGAGUGUACGUCUGUGUGCUAUUUCUCCCCCCGCCCCCGCCCCCCGCCUCUCCUGA